ACAAUCGGUGGAGCAUGUGGUUUAAUUCGAUGAUACGCGAGGAACCUUACCAAGACUUAAAUGUACUACGAAUAAAUUGGAAACAAUUUAGUCUAGCGACGGAGUACAGGUGCUGCAUGGUUGUCGUCAGCUCGUGCCGUGAGGUGUAAGGUUAAGUCCUUAAACGAGCGCAACCCUUAUUAUUAGUUGCCAUCGAGUAGUGUCGGGGACUCUAA
Molecule: ribosomal RNA, 215 nt
Filed under: Candidatus Palibaumannia cicadellinicola
Lineage: Bacteria; Pseudomonadati; Pseudomonadota; Gammaproteobacteria
Description: Candidatus Baumannia cicadellinicola partial 16S ribosomal RNA
Rfam family: Bacterial small subunit ribosomal RNA
Source: RNAcentral